RNAcentral lists this ribosomal RNA (253 nucleotides) under uncultured bacterium. Its description in RNAcentral is "partial 16S ribosomal RNA". It matches the Rfam family "Bacterial small subunit ribosomal RNA", at positions 524 to 776 of the family's 1533-position model. The record is from RNAcentral.
UACGUAGGGUGCGAGCGUUAAUCGGAAUUACUGGGCGUAAAGGGCUCGUAGGCGGCCAACUAAGUCGGACGUGAAAUCCCUCAGCUUAACUGGGGAACUGCGUCCGAUACUGGAUGGCUUGGAUUUGGGAGAGGGAUGCGGAAUUCCAGGUGUAGCGGUGAAAUGCGUAGAUAUCUGGAGGAACACCGGUGGCGAAGGCGGCAUCCUGGACCAAUAUUGACGCUGAGGAGCGAAAGCCAGGGGAGCAAACGGG